Molecule: ribosomal RNA, 309 nt
Filed under: uncultured bacterium
Lineage: Bacteria
Description: bacterial SSU rRNA
Rfam family: Bacterial small subunit ribosomal RNA
Source: RNAcentral
GACGAACGCUGGCGGCGCGCCUAACACAUGCAAGUCGAACGAGCGAGAGAGAGCUUGCUUUCUCGAGCGAGUGGCGAACGGGUGAGUAACGCGUGAGGAACCUGCCUCAAAGAGGGGGACAACAGUUGGGAACGACUGCUAAUACCGCAUAAUGCUUUUGAGCGGCAUCGCUUGAAAGCCAAAGAUUUAUCGCUGAAAGAUGGUCUCGCGUCUGAUUAGCUAGUUGGUGAGGUAACGGCUCACCAAGGCGACGAUCAGUAGCCGGUCUGAGAGGAUGAACGGCCACAUUGGGACUGAGAUACGGCCCAG